This 1169-nucleotide unclassified non-coding RNA is filed under the name Hevea brasiliensis (rubber tree). The record is from RNAcentral. Lineage: Eukaryota; Viridiplantae; Streptophyta; Magnoliopsida; Malpighiales; Euphorbiaceae.
GAGCUUUCUGUAAAGUUGAUAAGCACACCAUCAGAUGGUAUUGGUCCAACAAGAAAAUUGUUCGAUACAUUGAAAGUAAUGAGUUUAUUUAACUUCCCAAUAGAUGAUGGGAUUGACCCACUGAGAGAGUUGCUUGAGAUAUCCCUACAGAAUUGAGGAACAGAAUACCAAUGAGUAUCAUCAUUUACCAAUAUAUUAAUUGGAUAAUCAAAGCAAGAAAAUAUAAUUAAAUAAUUUCUCCCUCACUUGGGAAUCUGAAAUCAUUAAUUGGCAUUUAUGGAAAAUUAGUAACUACAUGACAGCUAAUAUUCUUUGGAUCUUUGAUCUUUCUAACAAAUAACUCAAUCCUAGUAGAAUCUUUGUUUUUCUUCUAUUUAUUUUCUUUGCCAUUAGCAACAUUGCUAAUGUAAGGCAUGAAUUUAUUUUACAUCAUUUUAUAGAAACAGAACGAAGUAAGUUGGUGUAAACCAAGAAGCUUGAUUUCCUUACUAUCUUCCGCUAGGAUGAAGUAACUAUCAUGAUAGUACUCAAUUUCUGUCUAUAUAAAAUGCAAGUAGAAAACCUACUAAAUCCCAUCUUAUCCCCUAACAGCUUCAGGAAAGGAACUAGGUCACAACUUUUACUUAAACCAUAAGGCUUGCAGUUCAUAAUGUUAGCACCUAGACAGAUACAACAUUCUUCCUAGGAUUAAAUUGGGAAAUAUUAUUCAGGUUCAAGAAGGACUGAACAGGAAUAUAAACCACAGCGAUGAUGUAGAUUAAUAGGCACAGCUGGUCCAGAAAACCAAUUUCUCCGAAAGGUUAAAAUCAACGCUAUAACCCUCAUGAAAGAUUAGGCCUAUUCAACCCAUCUCUGUUUUCUAUAUUUGAUGGAGGAUUAAAUGUGACACAAGAAUUAUGAACUUCAAUAAUCGACUCCACUCUUGAUAUAAUAAGAAAAAAAAUAAUUAUUAAAAAAAAAGAACUCAACAAACUACACCAUUGAUUGAAACAUAAACAUCACAAUCUCAUUUCUGAAUGAAAGAUACAAAAUGUAGACAUAGGCAUCUACAUACUAGAAGACAGGAUUUUAAAUUUCUAUGCGAACUUGCAAAAUAAAAAGCAUCACACAUUUAAGUUGAAUACUCAGUAUCAUUAAAAUAAUAAAAUUCACCAUAAGGAAAGAACUCA